GAUGAACGCUGGCGGCGUGCCUAAUACAUGCAAGUCGAGCGAACGGACGAGAAGCUUGCUUUUCUGAUGUUAGCGGCGGACGGGUGAGUAACACGUGGAUAACCUACCUAUAAGACUGGGAUAACUUCGGGAAACCGGAGCUAAUACCGGAUAAUAUUUUGAACCGCAUGGAUCAAAAGUGAAAGACGGUUUUGCUGUCACUUAUAGAUGGAUCCGCGCUGCAUUAGCUAGUUGGUAAGGUAACGGCUUACCAAGGCAACGAUGCAUAGCCGACCUGAGAGGGUGAUCGGCCACACUGGAACUGAGACACGGUCCAGACUCCUACGGGAGGCAGCAGUAGGGAAUCUUGCGCAAUGGGCGCAAGCCUGACGGAGCCACGCCGCGUGAGUGAUGAAGGUCUUCGGAUCGUAAAGCUCUGUUAUUAGGGAAGAACAUCUGUGUAAGUAACUGUGCACAUCUUGACGGUACCUAAUCAGAAAGCCACGGCUAACUACGUG
Molecule: ribosomal RNA, 497 nt
Filed under: uncultured bacterium
Lineage: Bacteria
Description: partial 16S ribosomal RNA
Rfam family: Bacterial small subunit ribosomal RNA
Source: RNAcentral